This 492-nucleotide ribosomal RNA is filed under the name uncultured bacterium. RNAcentral describes it as "partial 16S ribosomal RNA". It matches the Rfam family "Bacterial small subunit ribosomal RNA", at positions 29 to 507 of the family's 1533-position model. The record is from RNAcentral.
AGUGAACGCUGGCGGUAGGCCUAACACAUGCAAGUCGAACGGCAGCACAGUAAGCGCUUGCUCUUACGGGUGGCGAGUGGCGGACGGGUGAGGCAUACAUCGGAAUCUACUUUUUCGUGGGGGAUAACGUAGGGAAACUUACGCUAAUACCGCAUAUGACCUACGGGUGAAAGCAGGGGAUCUUCGGACCUUGCGCGAUUGAAUGAGCCGAUGUCGGAUUAGCUAGUUGGCGGGGUAAAGGCCCACCAAGGCGACGAUCCGUAGCUGGUCUGAGAGGAUGAUCAGCCACACUGGAACUGAGACACGGUCCAGACUCCUACGGGAGGCAGCAGUGGGGAAUAUUGGACAAUGGGCGCAAGCCUGAUCCAGCCAUACCGCGUGGGUGAAGAAGGCCUUCGGGUUGUAAAGCCCUUUUGUUGGGAAAGAAAAGCAGCAGGUUAAUACCCCGCUGUUCUGACGGUACCCAAAGAAUAAGCACCGGCUAACUUCGUG